AAUCAAGAGUGUCAACGUCAGGCCCUGGCCCGUUGGCCGGCAACCCUCUCACGGUGGUGGGGUGCUCCAGGUGAUGAUUCGGCCGAACGGGACCCCGGGCGGCAAACACCGCUC
RNAcentral lists this non-coding RNA (114 nucleotides) under Arthrobacter sp. RNAcentral's name for it is "SAM-IV sequence". It matches the Rfam family "SAM (S-adenosyl methionine) riboswitch aptamer". From Rfam's summary of the family: SAM-IV is a mRNA element that regulates gene expression via direct sensing of S-adenosylmethionine (SAM or AdoMet). SAM-IV riboswitches share conserved nucleotide positions with the previously described SAM-I riboswitches sequence analysis and molecular recognition experiments suggest that SAM-I and SAM-IV riboswitches share similar ligand binding sites, but have different scaffolds. The record is from RNAcentral. Lineage: Bacteria; Bacillati; Actinomycetota; Actinomycetes; Micrococcales; Micrococcaceae.